This 497-nucleotide ribosomal RNA is filed under the name uncultured bacterium. Its description in RNAcentral is "partial 16S ribosomal RNA". It matches the Rfam family "Bacterial small subunit ribosomal RNA", at positions 28 to 507 of the family's 1533-position model. The record is from RNAcentral.
GAUGAACGCUGGCGGCGUGCCUAAUACAUGCAAGUCGAGCGAACGGACGAGGAGCUUGCUCCUUUGACGUUAGCGGCGGACGGGUGAGUAACACGUGGAUAACCUACCUAUAGGACUGGGAUAACUUCGGGAAACCGGAGCUAAUACCGGAUAAUAUAUUGAACCGCAUGGUUCAAUAGUGAAAGACGGUUUUGCUGUCACUUAUAGAUGGAUCCGCGCCGCAUUAGCUAGUUGGUAAGGUAACGGCUUACCAAGGCAACGAUGCGUAGCCGACCUGAGAGGGUGAUCGGCCACACUGGAACUGAGACACGGUCCAGACUCCUACGGGAGGCAGCAGUAGGGAAUCUUCCGCAAUGGGCGAAAGCCUGACGGAGCAACGCCGCGUGAGUGAUGAAGGUCUUCGGAUCGUAAAACUCUGUUAUUAGGGAAGAACAAAUGUGUAAGUAACUAUGCACGUCUUGACGGUACCUAAUCAGAAAGCCACGGCUAACUACGUG